UACGGGGGGGUGCGAGCGUUUGUCCGGAAUCACUGGGCGUAAAGGGCGCGUAGGCGGCUGGGGAAGUCGGCGGUGAAAGCCCGGAGCUCAACUCCGGGUCGGCCGUCGAGACUCCUCGGCUCGAGCUCACUAGAGGCAGAUGGAAUUCCGGGUGUAGCGGUGGAAUGCGUAGAGAUCCGGAAGAACACCGGUGGCGAAGGCGGUCUGCUGGGGUGAGGCUGACGCUGAUGCGCGACAGCGUGGGGAGCAAACAGG
Molecule: ribosomal RNA, 255 nt
Filed under: uncultured bacterium
Lineage: Bacteria
Description: partial 16S ribosomal RNA
Rfam family: Bacterial small subunit ribosomal RNA
Source: RNAcentral